Molecule: ribosomal RNA, 477 nt
Filed under: Hexagrammos otakii (fat greenling)
Lineage: Eukaryota; Metazoa; Chordata; Actinopteri; Perciformes; Hexagrammidae
Description: partial 12S rRNA
Rfam family: Bacterial small subunit ribosomal RNA
Source: RNAcentral
UACACCCACUAUCCGCCCGGGAACUACGAGCAAAAGCUUAAAACCCAAAGGACUUGGCGGUGCUUUAGAUCCACCUAGAGGAGCCUGUUCUAGAACCGAUAACCCCCGUUCAACCUCACCUUUCCUUGUUUUUCCCGCCUAUAUACCGCCGUCGUCAGCUUACCCUCUGAAGGUCUAAUAGUAAGCAAAACUGGUAAAACCUAAAACGUCAGGUCGAGGUGUAGCGUAUGGAAGGGGAAGAAAUGGGCUACAUUCGCUACUACAGCGAACACGGAGGGUGCACUGAAACGUACACCUGAAGGAGGAUUUAGCAGUAAGCGGGAAAUAGAGCGUCCCGCUGAAAUCGGCCCUGAAGCGCGCACACACCGCCCGUCACUCUCCCCGAAAACACCCACUCAGUUAAUUAAAACCUAAUAAUCAUAGAGGGGAGGCAAGUCGUAACAUGGUAAGUGUACCGGAAGGUGCACUUGGAAAAAU